RNAcentral lists this ribosomal RNA (458 nucleotides) under uncultured bacterium. Its description in RNAcentral is "bacterial SSU rRNA". It matches the Rfam family "Bacterial small subunit ribosomal RNA", at positions 29 to 481 of the family's 1533-position model. The record is from RNAcentral.
AACGAACGCUGGCGGCGCGCCUAAUACAUGCAAGUCGAGCGAGAAGGUGUAGCAAUACACUUGUAAAGCGGCGAACGGGUGAGGAAUACAUGGGUAAUCUACCAUCGAGUGGGGAAUAACCAACCGAAAGGUUGGCUAAUACCGCGUACGCCUCCGAGUCUUCGGGUUCGGAGGGAAAGCUGCACUGUGAGUGUAGCGCUCUUUGAUGAGCUCAUGUCCUAUCAGCUUGUUGGUAGGGUAACGGCCUACCAAGGCUUUGACGGGUAGCUGGUCUGAGAGGACGAUCAGCCACACUGGCACUGCGACACGGGCCAGACUCCUACGGGAGGCAGCAGUAAGGAAUAUUGCGCAAUGGGCGAAAGCCUGACGCAGCGACGCCGCGUGGGGGAUGAAGGUCUUCGGAUUGUAAACCCCUUUCGGAGGGAAGAUGGAGCGAGCAAUCGUUCGGACGGUACCUC